GUUAAAGCACCAUGUUCACCCCUGACAGUGACGCCCAAUAGCUGCUCUCUCUCAUUACUGUGUCGCUGCUCCUCUUACCCUGAUUGGUCCUUAUGUUCUUCUCCUCCAGCAGCACAGCAAUGUCACCCUGGAGGCUCUUGUGCUGCACGACACAGCUGUAGCUGUUCCUCUUCCAGUCCUCAGGCUUCACCGUGAGUUUUGAUGUGAUCUGGAAUGUUCCGUCACCAUUUGGCAGGGUCUCCCCCACCUCCACAUCACUGUGCAUGUCCACUCCAUCUUUCUGCCAGGUCACCACGAUCCCUUUGGGGAAGAAGCCGGUUGCGUGGCAGGUGACAGGAGAGGAGGGGUCCUUCUGCAGCAGAGACACCUCA
Molecule: long non-coding RNA, 371 nt
Organism: Brienomyrus brachyistius
Lineage: Eukaryota; Metazoa; Chordata; Actinopteri; Osteoglossiformes; Mormyridae
Exons: 3
Source: RefSeq, a predicted model, not a curated record